This 252-nucleotide ribosomal RNA is filed under the name uncultured bacterium. Its description in RNAcentral is "partial 16S ribosomal RNA". It matches the Rfam family "Bacterial small subunit ribosomal RNA", at positions 524 to 776 of the family's 1533-position model. The record is from RNAcentral.
UACGUAGGGCGCAAGCGUUGUCCGGAAUUAUUGGGCGUAAAGAGCUCGUAGGCGGUUUGUCGCGUCUCUGUGAAAACCUAAGGCUCAACCUUGGGCUUGCAGUGGGUACGGGCAGACUAGAGUGCGGUAGGGGUGACUGGAAUUCCUGGUGUAGCGGUGGAAUGCGCAGAUAUCAGGAGGAACACCGAUGGCGAAGGCAGGUCAUUGGGCCGCAACUGACGCUGAGGAGCGAAAGCGUGGGGAGCGAACAGG